Molecule: non-coding RNA, 25 nt
Filed under: Rattus norvegicus (Norway rat)
Lineage: Eukaryota; Metazoa; Chordata; Mammalia; Rodentia; Muridae
Source: RNAcentral
GCACAAUAUUGAGGGUUUCCAUGUG